AUUGAACGCUGGCGGAAUGCUUUACACAUGCAAGUCGAACGGCAGCACGAGAGCUUGCUCUUGGUGGCGAGUGGCGAACGGGUGAGUAAUAUAUCGGAACGUAUCCAAUAAUGGGGGAUAACUAAUCGAAAGGUUAGCUAAUACCGCAUACGCCCUACGGGGGAAAGCAGGGGAUCUUCGGACCUUGCGUUAAUGGAGCGGCUGAUAUCUGAUUAGCUAGUAGGUGAGGUAAAGGCUCACCUAGGCUUCGAUCAGUAGCUGGUCUGAGAGGACGACCAGCCACACUGGAACUGAGACACGGCCCAGACUCCUACGGGAGGCAGCAGUGGGGAAUUUUCCGCAAUGGGCGAAAGCCUGACGGAGCAAUACCGCGUGAGGGAAGAAUGCCUAUGGGUUGUAAACCUCUUUUUUCAGGGAGGAAUAAAAUGACGUGUACCUGAAGAAUAAGCAUCGGCUAACUCCGUG
RNAcentral lists this ribosomal RNA (465 nucleotides) under uncultured bacterium. RNAcentral's name for it is "bacterial SSU rRNA". It matches the Rfam family "Bacterial small subunit ribosomal RNA", at positions 30 to 507 of the family's 1533-position model. The record is from RNAcentral.